CUUCUUCCUGGGCAGCCACUGCACACGUGAGCCUGAGGGUAGCUGUGUUCCAGCUUUGCACAGAAAGCAGGUUUGGGAGAAUGAAGCCAGAGGCCAAGGAGAGAAUGCGGAAUCCUGGAGUGUUGAAGGCCCUUGUUUUGAUUCCUCGCGUCCUCCAGUGUGAGUGAGUUCACUUUCUAGGACAUGCAUUCAAAGAACUCCCACUGAGGGGCCAGCAGGAAUUAGUUUCUGAGGCAGCAACUAGGGGCAGCAGUUGCACACAGGUUGUUGUUUUUUUUUUUGAAGCUGUAGAAGAGGAAAGCCUCUGUGGACGAUAUGCAGAAAGGUAUCUUUCUCUGCGCCAGACCUCUUUAUGAUGCAAAUGACAGAAAAUCCCAGCUUAAACUGGUUUAGACAAUAAAGCAAGUUUAAAAGCUAAGGUAGGGCAAGGCACGGUGGCUCAUGCCUGUAAUCCCAGCACUUUGGGAGGCCAAGGCAGUUGGAUCACUUGAGGUGAGGAGUUCGCCGACAUGGUGAAACCCUGUUUCUACUAAAAAUACAAAAAUUAGCUGGGUGUGGUGGCAUACGCCUGUAGUCCCAGCUAUUUGGGAGGCUGAGGGAUGAGAAUUGCUUGAACCUGAGAGGUAGAGGUUGCAGUGAGCCGAAAUUGUGCCACUGCACUCCAGCCUAGGUGAUAGAAUGAGACUGUCUCAAAAAAAAAAAAAAAAAAAAAGCUAAUGUAAUUUAGAAGUCUAGAGACAGUCUACCUUCAGGUGAUGCUUGACCCAGGCUCUAUUGAUGUCCCUGAACGAAUUUCUUCACCCCUCUAAUCUGCCUUCCUCAGUUUUCGCAGAAUGACCUUGAGAAACUUUAGGCUUCUCUUAUUGCAGCAGCAUGCCUCAGUUUCAGAUCUUCAGAGAAAAAGGGUUUUACCCCACCCCCAUGGAUUUUGCACAGUGCAGAGAUGUGCUUUUCCUUGAUGACCGAGGCUGGGGCAGAUGCCCAGUUUUGAUUAAAACACUGGCUGGGGGAGGGUGCUGUGUUGCAGCGAGGGGCUAAGCAAUCCUCUCCCAGUUCCAUGGCAGAGAAGGGAGGAGAAAGGAUUCUCUAAAGGCAAAUCAGAAUACUGUUGGGGAGAGAAGCAGGAAAUGGAGACAGUAGAUGUAGUGAUGUGGCAGGUCAGGUCUCACUAAUGCAGGCCUCCAUGACAACUGUUUCGUACUGACUGAGUAGUUAAGUUAAAUAUUAAAAGUGGAAAGAGUCAGUGUCCUUAUACAAAGACUGGAAUGUAACAAAAGCCCACCAAGAGUUUUGCCUAGGUCUUUCCUGGGCUUUAAAACAUGACAAAAUAACAAAAGAAUUCUUAACAGGACCCAUUUAGGAUGAAACAAGUUUUAUUGAGGGUCUGAAGAAACUCCCCAGGCUUCCACAAACAAGUUUACUGGGGGUGUAAAGGAAUUCCCCAAACCUUUAUGAUUUAGCAGGAGACAAGAUAAGGAUAAUCACUUCAGCACCUGGGCCCAUUUAGA
Molecule: long non-coding RNA, 1508 nt
Filed under: Homo sapiens (human)
Lineage: Eukaryota; Metazoa; Chordata; Mammalia; Primates; Hominidae
Description: non-protein coding lnc-EMX2-1:3
Source: RNAcentral